Lagopus muta (rock ptarmigan) is the source of this 6371-nucleotide long non-coding RNA. RefSeq lists it as uncharacterized. The record is from RefSeq and is a predicted model, not a curated record. The transcript is spliced from 6 exons. Lineage: Eukaryota; Metazoa; Chordata; Aves; Galliformes; Phasianidae.
GAGCAGGGGUUCGUUCGGGGGCGGAGGCCGUGGGCCGCCGGCCGCCCUCGUUUGUCCGCGGGCCGUUCUUGCGCCCCGACCUGCCUCUGCGCGCCGCUCUCUGCCGAGGCUGCGGUACACAGAUGCAUAUGCUGCCUGUAAGAGAUGAUGAAGAUACAAGUUCAUACUUUGCUCCUUGCUUCUCAGAUAUGGACGGGUGACAAUCUACAAGCCACAUGAGUGAUCCUCAGCUGCCUUGCCACUCUCUACUAGUAAUCAAAGUGUGGGGGACACAGAAGUGUCUUGGUGAUGGGAUGACAAACCUGCUGUAUGUCAGGGUAUAGAAUGCACAAACAGCCUUUGUUCAUGAAAUCCAGUGCACGUGUACUCACCUAUGCAUUGAACAGGAGAGGAAAAGUCAGUAUCACAUGCUCCUGAAGCCAGUGAAGGAGAAACAGCAGUCUGAGAUGAAACAACAUUCAACAAAACCUCAUCAAAUGCUUUCAGAGACACGAAUUCCACCUUGGGAUUGAAAUCGUACUGUGUGAGUCUGUUUUGCAGUGGCAACGUGCUGAUGGUGUGAAUUAGUCAUUAGUUUAUGACUCCGAGGAAAAGGACUGGUGAAAAUUGUAACUUAGAACGUAAGUAAGUGGACACUCACCAUUCAGAAUGAAAUACUGCAUAACCUGUGAGUGUGUUACUAUAAUUUCUGGUCUAUUUCCAAACAAAUGAUGUUAAAACAGGAGUCGGAAAUAUCUGGUAGGGAUUUGAAGUACAAUGUGGUAGUAACCCCAAAACCUAUUACUUUACAUUCAAGGUUUCUCCAUUAGACCUCUUUAAUUCAUCCCUAAUUAUAAAUUGCUGUCUGUAAGUUUCCAAAAAAUUGUUUAAUACUCCCAGGCCUAAUGCUAUAAUUUGGGGCAGAAUACAAUACCAUAAUGCCAUAUUUUCAGUGCAGAAUUACACCUUAUCUCCAAUAAACCACCAAUGUCUUCCAGUAUUUUUUAGAUUUAAUGUAUUUCAGUAUGCAGAAUCUUUAGCUUGUGUGGUUAAUCUUUUUUCUUAGUCUUUAAGCAGAACUGAGUCUCUUCAUUCUCAGUGCAGAAGUGCAGUACAACAGAAGAACAAAUCCAUUCUGCAGGUGGAAAGAAAAGCUGUGGGUUCAUGGUGAGGACAGCACCCAUCUGCCCCAGAUAAAUGUAAGUCCAUCUUCCCAGCUUGUAGGUGCCUUUGUUUACCUUUUGCUCCAUAACAAAACCAGAAGCUGCUUGAUAAAAUUCCCUUUGGAUUACAACCAUAAAUAAACCCGUUCUGCAUUCUUAAAUACAGAAUGCAGUUUUUGUGGCAGAUAGCUUGUAAGCUGUAAACAUAAAAAUCACAUACAAAUAAAUAAGCGUUGAGAAAGCAGUUAUAUGACAUGAAGUGUGUAUGAAGAAAAUGCUCUGAAUAUGGGAAAAAAUGAAAGGAUAGCUCCACAGCAGUAGUAGCUGUACCUGUUCAAUGCACUGAGUUAAGGGAGACUUCUACCUUGCUGUUGUUGUCUCUGUAACUAUUUACAUCUUAAAAUCUUAAAACCACUGACAGUUAAGGGAAAACAAACUUGUGCAUUUGGGCAUGGCAGGUCUUUUCUGCUGCGAGCUUCACACAAGCUUCUGCCUCCACACUGAUCUUUUCUUACACUGCUCUUAGGUAAUGUGUCUUCUCUCUUGUUUGUAAUCAUUUCUCCCUUUUAUUUGUAAUACACAAAAUAUUUAAGAAGCUCAUGAUUUAAGAGUAAUUAAGAUAGUGCUACCUCAAGAACAUCAAAUGUUACUCUUAUGUACGCUCAUAUUUGUUCUGCUGAGCAGGCCCAUCUCAGUGACAGAGGGAACUGCAAAUAAUACAGACUGACAUCAAACUAGCUAUUGCUGUAAGUGGGCAGAACAAAAGUUAUUUCUGCAUUUCUUGACACAGAAACACAUGGGUGGCUAUAUACUGUGUGAAAAAAACCACUACAUUGUUGUGUGCUUAUGAUAAAAAAAACAGGAAUCCUUUGCCAAUAAAAUACUGCUAUUUUUGGAUAAACAAAACCAAAAUCAAAUAAGAGCAAACAAGUGUAUAUAUGCCGUGCAUAACACACAGUCCCAUAUCAUCAACAUCAGUGAUUUUAGCAGUGUACUUCCUGAAAUGGGAGUUUUCACUAGAAUGAAAAUUGCUUCCACGUCACUUGGAAGUAAAGCUCACUGCUGUCAGGUUGCCAGAACCCUUAAAUGAGUGCUCAAGCAUCAUUACCUCUUUCAGUGAUUUCAUAUAUUUAUACUUACUGUCACAAGUAGGAGAGGAUCAGCAAGGAUUUGUUCCUUGUUCAGAAGAUCAUGGAGUCUGCUACCUGCCAGCAGGCCCUGCUUCCAGCAGCUGAAGCUCUUAUCACAAAUCUUGUUCCUGACAUACUUCAGCAUCCAGUACUUCUUUUACACCUUCCGGGGUCCUAUAUUUAGGUAUUUCUUCUUCUCCCCAGUUGCUCCAAGCCAGAAACAUAUCCCUUUACAUAGAAGAUUCUUAAAUUUGUUCACACUGCUUUUUUGGCAUUUGUUUCCUUGGUAAGUUCCACUUCUGUAGACUGUUCGGUACUAAGCGUAUUAUGAAAGUCUAGGUGGUAUUCUACAUUAUAAAUCACAGAUACACACAAGAUUGGCAGGAUUCUUGAACACUGGCCUGCAGCAUCCCAGAUCCAUAGUGCCGGAGAGAGGUGCGGACAGAUCUUUGGUCUUGAAGGCCAGAAUUCGGUCAUAUUCACAGACACAUUUGGAAGCUUGCAAAAGGUGGCCAAGAGAAGGAACAGGGGAUGUCACUGAUGAGCUGUGCAGAAAUGUCACCUCCUGGAGAACCAUCUAGUUAGAUGGACUACAUCUGAGUUCUGCUAAUGCUCUUCAUUAAGCAAACACGUUCAGCACUGCUGCAGUCACGACUGGAAUACACAGCACACCAGCAUAUGUUGAAAUCCAGGACGCUCAGUUCAACAGAAAGAGUGAGUAAUAUAAAUGGCAUUAACUGAAAUAAAUUUCAGGAUGUUUUUUGAUGGAAAGCAUGCUCAUAUCUCAAAAUCAAGCCUUUCAGUAGACAAAUAAAUGGCUUCAACAUUUUUCAGGGAAAUCUCAGUAGCAUUCCUUGGGCUCGUAGGUCAAGCUUACUACAGUCGAGCAGGCUUAAAUGCAAUAUUACAAUGUUUUUUGCUUCUUACAUAUUUUGAAUGGAACAUAACAAUGAACACACACAUUCUUGUGUUUCUGAUGCAUUCUUUUCUUGCAGAAGCCCCAGUUGGUAGUAAAGCAGUUCACAGCACAGACAUUUCUGUAGAGGAGAAGCUUGUGCAGCAGGUACAGAAGAUAAAAGUGUCAGUGAUGCAUUUUCACUUCUGGCUCAACGCAUCGGGACAUUUCCCCACCUUCUAACAGCUAAAUGUUAUCAGGUCUCCUCUCGCCUUUUCAACAGAAUGCUUCAACACUACUCAUCAGUUUUUGUUCAAGACAGCAGGGAAUGAAGCUCAUCAAACACAUUGCCUACAGCAUGCAGUCUGACACACUGGACUAAUAAUAGCUUUCCUGUCAUCACAAAAUAUCACAUUUAUGUGUGGCAUCCAGAAUGGAGCCAACCAAAGCGAGCUGCAUGGCCACACGUCUGUCUACACACACUUAUUCACACUGGUGGGCACCAGGAAAGGACAGGCAGCAGAGCAGCCAUCCACAUACUGUAGACACGAUGUGUUUUUCAGACAAGUUUCCUUCUCUUAAGCUCUGUAAUUGCUGUCAUUAACACUGAGCAGUAUGACAGCAAAAGAAGAAUCCCACAAAUGUAAUGGAUCAACUUAAAAAAAGUUAAAAUUUGUCAAUUUUAAGUAGCUAACCAUCAUUUCCCUUUUGUCAUAUAUUAGGAGGGCCACCAAGAUGAUCAGAGGGAUGGAGCUCCUCUCCUGUGAAGAGUGCUUAAGGGAACAGGCCUUUGUUUAGCUUGGAGAAGAGAAGGCUCUGGGCAGACCUCACUGUAAUCCUCCAAUAUUUGAAGGGAGCUUAUAAACAAGAGAGGGAAUGACUUUUUACAAUGAUAGAUAAUGAUAGGACAAGGGGGAAUGGUUUUAAUUGGUUUUUUUUUUUUGGUCUAGCGGUUGGCAAUCCUGUCCAUGGCAGGGGGGUUGAAACUAGGAUGAUCAUUACGAUCCUUUUCAACCCACGCCAUUCUAUGAUUCUGUGAUAAACUGAGACGGGGAGAUUUAGGUUAGAUAUUAGGAGAAAGUUUUUCACUCAGAGAGUGGUGACACACUGGAACAGGUUGCCCAAGGAGGCUGUGGAUGCCCCAUCCGUGGAGGCGUUUAAGACCAGGCUGGAUGUGGCUCUGGGCAGCCUGGUCUGGUGGUUGACGAUGCUGCACAUAGCAGGGGGGCUAAGCUAGAUGAGCAUUGUGGUCCUUUUCAACCCAGGCCAUUCUAUGAUUUUAUAUAAUUCCAUGCAGUUAUUGGGGUUUUUUGUUGUUGUUCUUUUUGAGAUAAUUCAGUCAUGUACUAUAUAACAUCUCACCUAAAUCUCCCCACUUUAGCUUAAAGUCAUUAAUAAACUAAGUGUCCAGCCCUGCUGUCCUGCUUCACAGUGCAGGCCCAGUAAGAAAAGCUGCAAUUAAUAAGUAAAUGAAAGCUGCCUGCAAGCACGUCCUCACUGCACAGCAGAUAGCAUGGAGGCUUCUGUUACAGCUGAAAGGUCAUAGAAAUCUAAUCCAUUGUGAUAAUUAAAAGCUGACAGGAGAUGAGCCCCUGACCUUGUGAUUCAUGGAGUUUUUCCUCAGUGGCACAAGGGUCGGCUGCAACCCGGCCACCCUCUGAAGCCCUGAGGUCCCCCUGAGGCACACAUUGCAAAAUGGGGCACACUUGGACAUGCAGUGCCCAACCUCUCCGUACCCCUGAGUACAGCAGGUGCAGCACUGAGCGAUGUACUGAGCGCCACGCUUCAGCCUUUGGACGUGCAUCGCUGGACUGAGCGACCACUGGGUGGCAAUGACAAUCUCCUGGAAAACAUUUUCCUGCAUUUGCUGAUCUCGGCUUCCUUUCCUGCUCCUCCCCUUCUGUUCUUUUUUUUUCCUAGGGAUAUUUUGUUCAACAACUUCCAGAAGAGAUAAGGAUCUACACUUAUUGAUAGAAUUUGUCUUCCAUCAAGAAAACCAUCAAUGCUCAAACACACACAGAGCAGAACAGAGCCAGGGCACUGCCUGCAGCCACCCCACGCUGAUUCCCUGUUGGUUCCCACAGCACUCCCCAGUGCCCAGGAUGCCCCCAGCAAACAGACAGCACAAAGCACAACGGAAAGGGGCUGCCCGUACUGCAGUCGGCCGGGGCUCACGGUAGCAGAGUUCUCCUCUUUGUGUCUCGUUUUGCUCAGCUUCUUCAUUCAUUCAGAGCUGCCUGCAGAGACAGAUAUGGAGGAAACGAACCAGACAGAGUCGCUCUCACAGCUCCUGUUUUGUUCUCCAGUCACCUAUUUCCCCACAGCUCAGCACAUAGUGUGCUUUAUGCAACGUCUUCUUUCUUUCAGGCAUGAAACAAAACUGUCUCUCAGUGCUGAGCAGUACCAUGCCAGCUUUUCAUAGAGGAGGAGGGAGUAAUUACAGGGAUUACGAGUGUGGCGCUGAAUGUCAACAUAUAUUAAAGCUGUUUAAUAUCUUGAAAUAGAAUAUCCUUCCACCUGAGGCACUGUCUUUCUGCCUAGAAUUAAAUUGUGGCAUCAACUGCCUUGGAUCUACCUAGUAACUCAUUUUGUUGGCAUACUUAAGAAGUUAUUCAUCUCAGCAUUACCAGAGCGCAUCAAAACUAUUUUGUGCUCGCAGGCAGCACGGCAGCUUCACCCAAUGCUCCUUUGAAGGCAUAAAAAACACUCUGUCACUCACUGAGAGCACGCUGCUGCCUGCAUCCCCUAUGCCAACCUCUGGAAAAAAGACAGGUGAUAGCAGUGGAUGCUACACAACGCCAUCACCCAGUCCUUUCUUCAAGCUAUUUAUCUCUACACACCUUUGCUUUGGGGUGAUGAUGCCAACAAGCAGUGGAGUAAUCACUGAGAGACCAAAGCGCAGAGGUUCAGGAGCACUGCUAGGGCUCAAUGGUGGGUCCCAUCCUGGACCUCUGAACUCACCCGUUCCAGCCCAUGUUGCUGCCUGCAGCCUCCUGCCUUUCCUCCUUGCAGAGCUCUGCCCACCCCAAGGCACAGGAAGAAGCCAGGUUCAUAUUAGGGUCAGUGACAACGCUUCUGUAGUGAGGUUUCCUGAACUAGCAUCACAAAAACAAGAGCUCACACAACUGAAGGCAUUUCAAGUUACAAAGGCAGCCUGCAAGGCAGGUGAGAAGCUCCUUUGCAGACUGAACAGCAAAUGAAAAA